Molecule: ribosomal RNA, 541 nt
Filed under: Salmonella enterica subsp. enterica serovar Infantis
Lineage: Bacteria; Pseudomonadati; Pseudomonadota; Gammaproteobacteria; Enterobacterales; Enterobacteriaceae
Also listed under: 1 other name
Description: bacterial SSU rRNA
Rfam family: Bacterial small subunit ribosomal RNA
Source: RNAcentral
CCUGGUCUUGACAUCCACAGAAGAAUCCAGAGAUGGAUUUGUGCCUUCGGGAACUGUGAGACAGGUGCUGCAUGGCUGUCGUCAGCUCGUGUUGUGAAAUGUUGGGUUAAGUCCCGCAACGAGCGCAACCCUUAUCCUUUGUUGCCAGCGGUCCGGCCGGGAACUCAAAGGAGACUGCCAGUGAUAAACUGGAGGAAGGUGGGGAUGACGUCAAGUCAUCAUGGCCCUUACGACCAGGGCUACACACGUGCUACAAUGGCGCAUACAAAGAGAAGCGACCUCGCGAGAGCAAGCGGACCUCAUAAAGUGCGUCGUAGUCCGGAUUGGAGUCUGCAACUCGACUCCAUGAAGUCGGAAUCGCUAGUAAUCGUGGAUCAGAAUGCCACGGUGAAUACGUUCCCGGGCCUUGUACACACCGCCCGUCACACCAUGGGAGUGGGUUGCAAAAGAAGUAGGUAGCUUAACCUUCGGGAGGGCGCUUACCACUUUGUGAUUCAUGACUGGGGUGAAGUCGUAACAAGGUAACCGUAGGGGAACCUGC